RNAcentral lists this ribosomal RNA (402 nucleotides) under uncultured prokaryote. RNAcentral's name for it is "bacterial SSU rRNA". It matches the Rfam family "Bacterial small subunit ribosomal RNA", at positions 355 to 774 of the family's 1533-position model. The record is from RNAcentral.
UGGGGAAUCUUGGACAAUGGGGGAAACCCUGAUCCAGCCAUGCCGCGUGAUCGAUGAAGGCCUUAGGGUUGUAAAGAUCUUUCAGCUGGGAAGAUAAUGACUGUACCAGCAGAAGAAGCCCCGGCUAACUCCGUGCCAGCAGCCGCGGUAAUACGGAGGGGGCUAGCGUUGUUCGGAAUUACUGGGCGUAAAGCGCACGUAGGCGGACCAUCAAGUUGGGGGUGAAAUCCCGGGGCUCAACCCCGGAACUGCCUCCAAAACUGCUGGUCUGGAGGUCGAGAGAGGCGAGUGGAAUUCCGAGUGUAGAGGUGAAAUUCGUAGAUAUUCGGAGGAACACCAGUGGCGAAGGCGGCUCGCUGGCUCGAUACUGACGCUGAGGUACGAAAGCGUGGGGAGCAAACA